This 65-nucleotide transfer RNA is filed under the name Dipodomys ordii (Ord's kangaroo rat). It matches the Rfam family "tRNA". Rfam says of the family: Transfer RNA (tRNA) molecules are approximately 80 nucleotides in length. Their secondary structure includes four short double-helical elements and three loops (D, anti-codon, and T loops). Further hydrogen bonds mediate the characteristic L-shaped molecular structure. tRNAs have two regions of fundamental functional importance: the anti-codon, which is responsible for specific mRNA codon recognition, and the 3' end, to which the tRNAs corresponding amino acid is attached (by aminoacyl-tRNA synthetases). tRNAs cope with the degeneracy of the genetic code in two manners: having more than one tRNA (with a specific anti-codon) for a particular amino acid; and 'wobble' base-pairing, i.e. permitting non-standard base-pairing at the 3rd anti-codon position. Lineage: Eukaryota; Metazoa; Chordata; Mammalia; Rodentia; Heteromyidae. The record is from Rfam by way of RNAcentral.
GGUGGCUCAGUGGUAGAGUACUUGCUUUCCAUGCAUGAGGCCUUGGGUUUGAUUCCUCAGCACCA